GCCGAAGUAGCUCAGUUGGUAGAGCACCGCUUUCGUAAAGCGGGGGUCGCCGGUUCAAUCCCGGCCUUCGGCU
RNAcentral lists this transfer RNA (73 nucleotides) under Candidatus Campbelliibacteriota bacterium. RNAcentral's name for it is "Candidatus Campbellbacteria bacterium tRNA-Thr". It matches the Rfam family "tRNA". Rfam says of the family: Transfer RNA (tRNA) molecules are approximately 80 nucleotides in length. Their secondary structure includes four short double-helical elements and three loops (D, anti-codon, and T loops). Lineage: Bacteria; Candidatus Campbelliibacteriota. The record is from RNAcentral.